This 442-nucleotide ribosomal RNA is filed under the name uncultured bacterium. Its description in RNAcentral is "partial 16S ribosomal RNA". It matches the Rfam family "Bacterial small subunit ribosomal RNA", at positions 339 to 795 of the family's 1533-position model. The record is from RNAcentral.
CUACGGGAUGCAGCAGUCGAGAAUCUUCCGCAAUGGGCGCAAGCCUGACGGAGCAAUGCCGCGUGAGGGAUGACGGCCCUAGGGUUGUAAACCUCUGUCAGAAGGGACGAAGAACGUGACGGUACCUUCAGAGGAAGCCAUGGCUAACUACGUGCCAGCAGCCGCGGUAAUACGUAGAUGGCGAGCGUUAUUCGGAUUUACUGGGCGUAAAGGGUCCGUAGGGGGUCUGCCAAGUCUGAUGUGAAAUCCUGCGGCUCAACCGCGGAACUGCAUUGGAAACUGGCGGACUAGAGUGUGCGAGGGGUGAGCGGAAUUCCUGGUGUAGCGGCGGAAUGCGUAGAUAUCAGGAAGAACACCGAUGGCGAAGGCGGCUCACUGGCGCAUCACUGACCCUGAGGGACGAAAGCGUGGGUAGCAAACAGGAUUAGAUACCCCGGUAGUC